This 347-nucleotide ribosomal RNA is filed under the name uncultured bacterium. RNAcentral describes it as "bacterial SSU rRNA". It matches the Rfam family "Bacterial small subunit ribosomal RNA", at positions 8 to 334 of the family's 1533-position model. The record is from RNAcentral.
AGGGUUUGAUUAUGGCUCAGGACGAACGCUGGCGGCGUGCUUAACACAUGCAAGUCGAACGGUGAAGGGGCCUGCUUUUGUGGGUCCUGGAUGAGUGGCGAACGGGUGAGUAACACGUGAGUAACCUGCCCCCUUCUUCUGGAUAACCGCAUGAAAGUGUGGCUAAUACGGGAUAUUCUGUGCCUGCUGCAUGGUGGGUGUGGGAAAGAUUGCGCCUUUGGGUGUUUUUGGUGGGGGAUGGGCUCGCGGCCUAUCAGCUUGUUGGUGGGGUGAUGGCCUACCAAGGCGGUGACGGGUAGCCGGCCUGAGAGGGUGGACGGUCACACGGGGACUGAGACACGGCCCAG